RNAcentral lists this ribosomal RNA (440 nucleotides) under uncultured bacterium. RNAcentral describes it as "partial 16S ribosomal RNA". It matches the Rfam family "Bacterial small subunit ribosomal RNA", at positions 338 to 795 of the family's 1533-position model. The record is from RNAcentral.
CCUACGGGAGGCAGCAGUGGGGAAUAUUGGUCAAUGGGGGAAACCCUUAUCCAGCGACGCCGCGUGAAGGAUGAAGGUCUUCUGGUUGUAAACCUCUGUCUGUGGGGGCGUUAAUUACGGUACGCGCGGCUUAUUCCACGGCCAACGACGUGCCAGCAGCCGCGGUAAUGCGUAGGUGGCAAGCGUUGUCCGGAAUUACUGGGUGUAAAGGGAGCGUAGGCGGGUUGUCAAGUCAGAAGUGAAAAGUAUGGGCUCAACACAGAACCUGCUUUUGAAACUGGGAGUCUUGAGUGCAGUAGAGGCAAGCGGAAUUCGUAGUGUAGCGGUGAAAUGCGUAGAUAUUAGGAGGAACACCGGUGGCGAAGGCGGCCUGCUGGGCUGUUACUGACGCUGAGGCUCGAAAGCGUGGGGAGCAAACAGGAUUAGAUACCCUGGUAGUC